CCUCGUCCAUCAGCUGUGGGCAGAUGAAGUGCACAUGGCAGUCGAUCGCGCCCGCGGUGAGGAUGCGUCCGUUGCCGGAGAUGAUCUCGGUGGACGGGCCGACGACGAGGUCGGGAUGCACACCGCUCAUCGUGUCGGGGUUGCCCGCCUUGCCGAUGCCGCAGAUGCGCCCGUCACGAAUGCCGAUGUCGGCCUUGAUGAUUCCCCAGUGGUCGAUGAUCACCGCGCCGGUGAUCACGGUGUCCGGCGCCCCGUCGGCGCGGGUCGCGCGGGACUGUCCCAUCGACUCG
RNAcentral lists this small RNA (290 nucleotides) under Nocardia brasiliensis ATCC 700358. RNAcentral describes it as "5' ureB small RNA". It matches the Rfam family "5' ureB small RNA". Lineage: Bacteria; Bacillati; Actinomycetota; Actinomycetes; Mycobacteriales; Nocardiaceae. The record is from Rfam by way of RNAcentral.